CAAUAGCGUAUAUUAAAGUUGCUGCAGUUAAAAAGCUCGUAGUUGGACCUUGGACCUGGACAGGCGGUCCGCCUCACGGCGUGUACUGUCUUGCUGGGUCUUUCCUCUUGGUGAUCUGUUGUUUCGGCAGCAGGGAACCAGGACUUUUACUUUGAAAAAAUUAGAGUGUUCAAAGCAGGCUCGACGCCGGAAUAUAUUAGCAUGGAAUAAUAAAAUAGGACGUGCGGUUCUAUUUUGUUGGUUUUUGGAAUCGCCGUAAUGAUUAAUAGGGACAGUCGGGGGCAUUAGUACUCACAUGCUAGAGGUGAAAUUCUUGGAUUUUGUGAAGACUAACUUCUGCGAAAGCAUUUGCCAAGGAUGUUUUCAUUAA
Molecule: ribosomal RNA, 370 nt
Filed under: uncultured eukaryote
Lineage: Eukaryota
Description: partial 18S ribosomal RNA
Rfam family: Eukaryotic small subunit ribosomal RNA
Source: RNAcentral